CAGAGCCGCGGUAAUACGGAGGGGGCUAGCGUUGUUCGGAAUUACUGGGCGUAAAGCGCACGUAGGCGGCUUUGUAAGUCAGAGGUGAAAGCCCGGGGCUCAACCCCGGAAUUGCCUUUGAGACUGCAUCGCUUGAAUCCAGGAGAGGUGAGUGGAAUUCCGAGUGUAGAGGUGAAAUUCGUAGAUAUUCGGAAGAACACCAGUGGCGAAGGCGGCUCACUGGACUGGUAUUGACGCUGAGGUGCGAAAGCGUGGGGAGCAAACAGGAUUAGAUACCCCUGUAGUCCCUGUCUCUUAUACA
This 301-nucleotide ribosomal RNA is filed under the name uncultured bacterium. RNAcentral describes it as "partial 16S ribosomal RNA". It matches the Rfam family "Bacterial small subunit ribosomal RNA", at positions 509 to 808 of the family's 1533-position model. The record is from RNAcentral.